This 259-nucleotide ribosomal RNA is filed under the name Tectovalopsis wegeneri. RNAcentral describes it as "partial 16S ribosomal RNA". Lineage: Eukaryota; Metazoa; Arthropoda; Malacostraca; Amphipoda; Alicellidae. The record is from RNAcentral.
CCCUAAAAGCUUUAUUUAUUUAUUUAUUGUUUAUCUAAGUAAUGUUAAUAAGUUCUUUGGGUUCGGGUUUAGCUGGGGUAGUUGUUUUAAAGGAACUAAGAUGUUGUAUUAACACUUAUAUAUGGAGAUUGGUCUUGUUUAUACGGAAAGUCAGGUUAAGUUACUUUAGGGAUAACAGCGCAAUAUUUUUGGGGAGAUCAUAUUUAUAGAGAAGUUUGCGACCUCGAUGUUGAAUUAAGAGUUUUCUGUGGGGUAGAAU